Molecule: ribosomal RNA, 347 nt
Filed under: uncultured bacterium
Lineage: Bacteria
Description: partial 16S ribosomal RNA
Rfam family: Bacterial small subunit ribosomal RNA
Source: RNAcentral
CCUACGGGUGGCAGCAGUGAGGAAUAUUGGUCAAUGGGCGAGAGCCUGAACCAGCCAAGUCGCGUGAAGGAUGAAGGAUCUAUGGGUUGUAAACUUCUGUUAUAUGGGAAUAAAGUGAGGAAAGUGUGCCUUGUUGUAUGUACCAUAUGAAUAAGGAUCGGCCAACUCCGUGCCAGCAGCCGCGGUAAUACGGAGGAUGCGAGCGUUAUCCGGAUUUCUUGGGUGUAAAGGGUGCGUAGGGGGUUAAUUAAGUCAGCGGUGAAAGUUUGUGGCUCAACCGUAAAAUUGCCUUUGAAACUGGUUGUCUUGAUUAUAUUUGAGGUAGUCGGAAUGCGUGGUGUAGCGGU